GAUCAUGGCUCAGGAUGAACGCUGGCGGCGUGCCUAAUACAUGCAAGUAGAACGCUGAAGGAGGAGCUUGCUCUUUCCGGAUGAGUUGCGAACGGGUGAGUAACGCGUAGGUAACCUGCCUGGUAGCGGGGGAUAACUAUUGGAAACGAUAGCUAAUACCGCAUAACAGUAGAUAUUGCAUGGUAUCUGCUUGAAAGGGGCAAUUGCUCCACUACCAGAUGGACCUGCGUUG
RNAcentral lists this ribosomal RNA (232 nucleotides) under uncultured bacterium. RNAcentral's name for it is "partial 16S ribosomal RNA". It matches the Rfam family "Bacterial small subunit ribosomal RNA", at positions 15 to 238 of the family's 1533-position model. The record is from RNAcentral.